AUUUUCAGGUUCAAUAACGCAUCGUGUGGACAUGCAAUCGGAGAUAUUUUGAGGUCCAAUUUUAAAGGAGCAUGGCACUCUUGGGAAAAAGUAGAUUCAAUGUGCAGGGAUGAACUCUUUAAAGAGUUUAAGAAAAAAUAUUCCUUUCCUGAGGAAGAUGAGUCGAUUGUUCGUAAUAUUUGGGAAGAUAAGGCUAGGAUAGCUUUGAAUCGGCAAUUGACACGAGCUCACAAGAAAGCCAUGUCAAAAGAAAACACUACAAAUAUUAUAGAUUGCCUUGAUAAAGGUCCUGCUUGGAUAAACAAUGCUGACUGGAAUCAAAUGAUCAAAAAUGUUUGGUCCACCCCUGAAUUUCAAAGGAGGUCUGAAUCUGCUAAGAGGAAUCGAUUAACCAAAACAGAUGGUAAAAUAAGCACUCAUUCUGGAGGAACAGUGUCAUUUGCAUCAUAUCGAGCUAACAUGGUAAUGAUUUUUUUUUAUUAUGCUUAAGAUAAUGAAUUAAAUUUUAUAUAUUUAUCUUUUAUAAUAUUUAUUAAUCUUGAAAGCAAGAGGAAGCUGGUGGAAAAGAACCUCCAUGGGAUAAUGUCUUUUCAGCUUUGCAUCAGAGUACUAAGCAGUCUGGUAGCUUCGUCGACAACAAGUCUAAAAAAGUGGUUGAGAAUUAUAAAAAGGAGAUGAUUUCAAAGUAUGGAACUAAUCGAGAAAAUCAUCCUUCAUUUGAUGGAGCAACUUGGUGUGUGGCUUCAGGAGGAGUUACAAAGGGUAGGGUAUAUGGUGCACCUCGUAUGCCAAAAUCUAUAGUUAGUACAAGUUCUUCAUCACAUUCCUACUCGGUGGAGUCAUCAUAUCCCAGUUCAUCGUAUCGAGCGUUGCAACAAAGGAUAAAGGAUAAAGAAGAGGAGAUAAAGAAAAAAGAUGAUUUUAUUCUUGAAAUGAAACGGCAGAUGGAUUCUAUGCAAGAAUAUCUUGUGAACAAUCUUGGAUACCGUGGUGGGACAUCAAAUAUUGGCCAAGGUAUGCCUUCACCUAUGGCUCCCCAGAUAAUGACACCUAUGGGUCCCACAUCUCAACCACUUUAUCGACCUACACCUCGAUCACUAUAUCCUGAUCAAUCUUGUGUCGAUCCCCAAUAUCAUGGUUCGUCUUCGCAACCACCACCAUGAUUGUAUCUUUUGUUAUUUUUUUUUAAUUGUAUUUCGACAUAAUUGUAUUAAUGCAAGUUUGACUAAAUUUUUAUAAUAUGAAUAUUAUUUUUAUUU
This is an RNA transcript of Populus euphratica (Euphrates poplar), 1259 nucleotides long. RefSeq lists it as uncharacterized. The transcript is spliced from 3 exons. NCBI's taxonomy places the organism in Eukaryota, Viridiplantae, Streptophyta, Magnoliopsida, Malpighiales, Salicaceae. The record is from RefSeq and is a predicted model, not a curated record.